RNAcentral lists this long non-coding RNA (214 nucleotides) under Mustela putorius furo (domestic ferret). Its description in RNAcentral is "lncRNA (ENSMPUG00000024873.1)". The record is from RNAcentral. Lineage: Eukaryota; Metazoa; Chordata; Mammalia; Carnivora; Mustelidae.
AUAUACACACACUUCUUUAAGUAUUUCAUUGCUGAUGAACAUUUAGUUGUUUCCAGUUUUGGACUAUGAUUAAUAAUGCUUGGUGAAUAUUACUGAACUUCUCAUGUGGUGCACAUGUGUGCAUUUCUUUCGGGUCCAAAAGCUUCCAGGAUAUAACAGCUCAAAGCAGAGAACAAUACAGAAUGGCUCCAGAGGACCAAACAGAAGACAUCCA